This 1978-nucleotide ribosomal RNA is filed under the name human oral metagenome. Its description in RNAcentral is "bacterial LSU rRNA". It matches the Rfam family "Bacterial large subunit ribosomal RNA", at positions 1 to 1977 of the family's 2925-position model. The record is from RNAcentral.
GAAAGUAAAUAAGGGCGCAUGGCGGAUGCCUUGGCUCAUGGAGGCGAUGAAGGACGUGAUAAGCUGCGAUAAGCCGCGGUAAGGUGCAAAUGACCCUUGACCCGCGGAUUUCCGAAUGGGACAACCCACCCGCGCAAUACGCGGGUAUCACCGCACAGUCGGUGAGGCGAACCGGGGGAACUGAAACAUCUUAGUACCCCGAGGAAGAGAAAAUAAGUUAAUGAUUCCCCCAGUAGUGGCGAGCGAACGGGGAAGAGCCCAAACCGGCGUUGUGGCAACGCAUCGCCGGGGUUGUAGGACCGCGCCGUUGCACGCGGCGUGUGAGGAGAAGCUCCCUGGAAAGGGGCGCCGUAGCGGGUGAAAGCCCCUUAUCCGAAGCACAAAGCGGCAUAGCGGUAUCCUGAGUAACGCGGGACACGAGAAAUCCUGCGCGAAUCUGCCGGGACCAUCCGGUAAGGCUAAAUACUCCCAUGAGACCGAUAGCGAACCAGUACCGUGAGGGAAAGGUGAAAAGCACUUCGACAAGAAGAGUGAAAUAGUUCCUGAAACCAUGCGCCUACAAGCGGUCGGAGCUGCUUAUGCAGUGACGGCGUGCCUUUUGCAUAAUGAACCUACGAGUUACCGUAUCUGGCAAGGAUAAGCGGCAGGAGCCGCGCAUCCGCAGUGAAAGCGAGCCUGAAGAGGGCGUUUUAGUCAGGUGUGGUAGACGCGAAACCAAGUGAUCUACACAUGUCCAGGAUGAAGUCCCGGUAACACGGGAUGGAGGUCCGAACGGAUAAGCGUUGAAAAGCUUCCCGAUGAGGUGUGUGUAGGAGUGAAAGGCCAAUCAAACUUGGAGAUAGCUCGUACUCCCCGAAAGGCAUUUAGGUGCCGCGUGCAGUGUUCUCCCCAAGAGGUAGAGCGACCGAUAGGACGCGAGGGCUUCACCGCCUAUCAAGUCCUGACGAACUCCGAAUGCUUAGGGGACAGUAGCUGCGCAGUAAGGGGACGGGUGCUAAGGUCCGUUCCCGAGAGGAGAAGAAUCCAGACCGCCGUCUAAGGUCCCGGAGUUCUGCCUGAGUUAGUCUAACGAAGUCUGGUCCCCGCGACAGCCAGGAUGUUGGCUUGGAAGCAGCCAUUCAUUUAAAGAGUGCGUAACAGCUCACUGGUCGAGGGUCCGGGCGUGGAUAAUAAUCGGGUAUAAGGCAGACACCGAAGACGCGGGAUAGCAUUGAAAAAAGUAUCGGUAGGGGAGCAUUCCAUGCGCGUUGAAUGCGGCGAGGCGAUUGCCGCUGGAGCCCAUGGAAAAGCAAAUGUAGGUAUAAGUAACGAUAAGGGGGGUAAGAUUCCCCCCCGCCGCAAGACUAAGGUUUCCCGGGCAAUGCCAAUCAUCCCGGGGUCAGUCGGGUCCUAAGGCUCAGCCGAACGGCGAGGCCGAUGGCAGAAAGGGUCAACAUUCCCUUACUGCCGCACGGAGCGACGCGGAGACGGAGGCGUGACACCACCGCGGAGAUACGGAAUUCUCCGUUGAAGGGCGUAGGCGUUGAGGGCGGCAGGCAAAUCCACCGCCCGAGUCGAACCUCGAAAGUAUGCCUUUCCCUUCGGGGCGAGGCAAUAGCGUGGGUAACCAUACUCCCGAGAAAAUCCGCUAAGCUCAAUCCGUGCGGCACCCGUACCGCAAACGGACACACGUAGUCGGGUAGAACAUACUGAGGCGUUGAGAGAUUCAUGGUUAAGGAACUAGGCAAACUGACCCCGUAACUUCGGGAUAAGGGGUCCUCGUCGCAAGGCGAGGCGCAGAGAAUAGGUCCAGGCAACUGUUUAACAAAAACACAGGGCUGUGCCAACUCGAAAGAUGACGUAUACAGCCUGACACCUGCCCGGUGCCGGAAGGUUAAGAGGAGAGCUCAGAGCUUCUGCUCGAAGGUUUGAAUUGAAGCCCCGGUAAACGGCGGCCGUAACUAUAACGGUCCUAAGGUAGCGAAAUUCCUUGUCGGGU